This 433-nucleotide ribosomal RNA is filed under the name uncultured bacterium. RNAcentral's name for it is "partial 16S ribosomal RNA". It matches the Rfam family "Bacterial small subunit ribosomal RNA", at positions 29 to 507 of the family's 1533-position model. The record is from RNAcentral.
AACGAACGCUGGCGGCAUGCCUAACACAUGCAAGUCGAACGAGACCUUCGGGUCUAGUGGCGCACGGGUGCGUAACGCGUGGGAACCUGCCCUUAGGUUCGGAAUAACUCCCCGAAAGGGGUGCUAAUACCGGAUAAUGUCUUCGGACCAAAGAUUUAUCGCCUUUGGAUGGGCCCGCGUUGGAUUCGCUAGUUGGUAGGGUAAAAGCCUACCAAGGCGACGAUCCAUAGCUGGUCUGAGAGGAUGAUCAGCCACACUGGGACUGAGACACGGCCCAGACUCCUACGGGAGGCAGCAGUGGGGAAUAUUGGACAAUGGGCGAAAGCCUGAUCCAGCAAUGCCGCGGGAGUGAUGAAGGCCUUAGGGUUGUAAAGCUCUUUUACCCGGGAUGAUAAUGACAGUACCGGGAGAAUAAGCGCCGGCUAACUCCGUG